UCCUGACUUCUGGCACACUGCCUGAAGACACUGACCCACGACAGGAGAAUUCUAUG
RNAcentral lists this non-coding RNA (56 nucleotides) under unclassified sequences. The record is from RNAcentral.